GGAUUAGCUAGUUGGUGGGGUAAAGGCCUACCAAGGCGACGAUCCAUAGCUGGUCUGAGAGGAUGAUCAGCCACAUUGGGACUGAGACACGGCCCAAACUCCUACGGGAGGCAGCAGUGGGGAAUAUUGGACAAUGGGCGCAAGCCUGAUCCAGCCAUGCCGCGUGAGUGAUGAAGGCCUUAGGGUUGUAAAGCUCUUUCACCGGAGAAGAUAAUGACGGUAUCCGGAGAAGAAGCCCCGGCUAACUUCGUGCCAGCAGCCGCGGUAAUACGAAGGGGGCUAGCGUUGUUCGGAAUUACUGGGCCGUAAAGCGCACGUAGGCGGAUAUUUAAGUCAGGGGUGAAAUCCCAGAGCUCAACUCUGGAACUGCCUUUGAUACUGGGUAUCUUGAGUAUGGAAGAGGUAAGUGGAAUUCCGAGUGUAGAGGUUGAAAUUCGUAGAUAUUCGGAGGGAACACCAGUUGGCGAAGGCGGCUUACUG
RNAcentral lists this ribosomal RNA (480 nucleotides) under uncultured bacterium. RNAcentral's name for it is "bacterial SSU rRNA". It matches the Rfam family "Bacterial small subunit ribosomal RNA", at positions 238 to 731 of the family's 1533-position model. The record is from RNAcentral.